This 145-nucleotide small RNA is filed under the name Paenibacillus alvei. RNAcentral describes it as "L20_leader". It matches the Rfam family "Ribosomal protein L20 leader". Rfam says of the family: This family is a putative r-protein leader autoregulatory structure found in B. subtilis and other low-GC Gram-positive bacteria. The record is from RNAcentral. Lineage: Bacteria; Bacillati; Bacillota; Bacilli; Caryophanales; Paenibacillaceae.
AUUGGAAAGAAGAAGCCCACGCUUCUCACCUGACCGACAUGUUGUUGGCUGGUUAUGACUCGCACUGCCUUGGCAGUGCUCACUAGAUUAGAAUGUCUAUGUGAGGGAUGUGGGCUCGAUGAGCUUGCAUCCCUUUUUUAUGCGA